GGCCACCGUUUCACAAAGCCUUCUUAACUUACGAUCAUCGUAUCAGUUUACGAUCGGUUUACGUGUGGUUCUACGUUCCCGUUACGUGUGUUUCACAAAGGCAUCGUAAAGAACUACUAAGUUGAUCGCAAGUUACGUCGUGUGUAUCAUCGUAAGUGUAUCGUAAACCGAGAAGAGUGCUUUCUUUCACGUCCGCACUUUUAUCGAGUAUGGCAUGCCAAAUAAACAUUUUUAAAAAUAAUUAUUAUGGAUGGCGAAUUAUGGCGAUAUUUUUAUAUCAACAUUAAUACAACUAAAGAAUUUUAGUCCGUUUUC
This 315-nucleotide long non-coding RNA is filed under the name Mytilus galloprovincialis (Mediterranean mussel). Lineage: Eukaryota; Metazoa; Mollusca; Bivalvia; Mytilida; Mytilidae. The record is from RNAcentral.